UCUAAGGGGACUAUCGGCUCAGCCGAUGGAAGUGCGCGGCAAUAACAGGUCUGUGAUGCCCUUAUAUGUUCUGGGCCGCACGCGCGCUACACUGACAGGGCCAGCGAGUACAUCACCUUGGCCGAGAGGUCUGGGUAAUCUUGUUAAACCCUGUCGUGCUGGGGAUAGAGCAUUGCAAUUAUUGCUCUUCAACGAGGAAUGCCUAGUAGGCACGAGUCAUCAGCUCGUGCCGAUUACGUCCCUGCCCUUUGUACACACCGCCCGUCGCUACUACCGAUUGAAUGGCU
RNAcentral lists this ribosomal RNA (287 nucleotides) under fungal sp. RNAcentral's name for it is "partial small subunit ribosomal RNA". It matches the Rfam family "Eukaryotic small subunit ribosomal RNA", at positions 1410 to 1698 of the family's 1831-position model. The record is from RNAcentral. Lineage: Eukaryota; Fungi.